AUUUAAGUAGUUUAUUAUAAAAUUUUGAUUUGUGGAGUCAAGGAUGUAGGUUUUACCUUAAAUA
RNAcentral lists this transfer RNA (64 nucleotides) under Ptosima chinensis. RNAcentral's name for it is "tRNA-His". Lineage: Eukaryota; Metazoa; Arthropoda; Insecta; Coleoptera; Buprestidae. The record is from RNAcentral.